UCCCUGGUGGUCCAGUGGCUAAGACUCCAUGAUCCUAAAGCAGGGAGCCUAGGUUUGAUUCCUAGUCAGGGAA
RNAcentral lists this transfer RNA (73 nucleotides) under Bos grunniens (domestic yak). It matches the Rfam family "tRNA". Rfam says of the family: Transfer RNA (tRNA) molecules are approximately 80 nucleotides in length. Their secondary structure includes four short double-helical elements and three loops (D, anti-codon, and T loops). RNAcentral also lists the same sequence under 2 other names. The record is from Rfam by way of RNAcentral. Lineage: Eukaryota; Metazoa; Chordata; Mammalia; Artiodactyla; Bovidae.